This 248-nucleotide long non-coding RNA is filed under the name Brachypodium distachyon (stiff brome). RNAcentral's name for it is "long non-coding RNA (BDIS_LNC000020)". Lineage: Eukaryota; Viridiplantae; Streptophyta; Magnoliopsida; Poales; Poaceae. The record is from RNAcentral.
GGAUCGAUCGAAAAACUAUAGCUAGGAAUUAAGAUUGGGAAACCGGUUGUGAUUUCUUGGGGCCUUUGGGGCUGGCUGGCAUUAUAUGGCCGGUGAAUCCGCGUGAGACAUCUCCGACUCGGAUUCGAACUGGGGAAGAGAGAAACCCGCGCGGGAGAAUUAGGGCCUGUUUGGUUUGCAUCCUGGGCACUUCGUGCCUGACCGGUAGGUUCCCUGAUCUCUGCCUGAAUGUUGUUUGGUUCAUGCCU